AUGUCCUGUAGUGGGGGAUAGCCCGGCGAAAGCCGGAUUAAUACCGCAUACGAUCUGAGGAUGAAAGCGGGGGACCUUCGGGCCUCGCGCUAUAGGGUUGGCCGAUGGCUGAUUAGCUAGUUGGUGGGGUAAAGGCCUACCAAGGCGACGAUCAGUAGCUGGUCUGAGAGGACGACCAGCCACACUGGGACUGANACACGGCCCAGACUCCUACGGGAGGCAGCAGUGGGGAAUUUUGGACAAUGGGCGAAAGCCUGAUCCAGCAAUGCCGCGUGUGUGAAGAAGGCCUUCGGGUUGUAAAGCACUUUUGUCCGGAAAGAAAUCCUUGGUUCUAAUAUAGCCGGGGGAUGACGGUACCGGAAGAAUAAGCACCGGCUAACUACGUGCCAGCAGCCGCGGUAAUACGUAGGGUGCAAGCGUUAAUCGGAAUUACUGGGCGUAAAGCGUGCGCAGGCGGUUUGCUAANACCGAUGUGAAAUCCCCGGGCUCNACCUGGGAACUGCNUUGGUGACUGGCA
Molecule: ribosomal RNA, 517 nt
Filed under: uncultured Burkholderia sp.
Lineage: Bacteria; Pseudomonadati; Pseudomonadota; Betaproteobacteria; Burkholderiales; Burkholderiaceae
Description: bacterial SSU rRNA
Rfam family: Bacterial small subunit ribosomal RNA
Source: RNAcentral